This 957-nucleotide ribosomal RNA is filed under the name Enteromyxum leei. RNAcentral's name for it is "SSU rRNA". It matches the Rfam family "Eukaryotic small subunit ribosomal RNA", at positions 409 to 1380 of the family's 1831-position model. Lineage: Eukaryota; Metazoa; Cnidaria; Myxozoa; Bivalvulida; Enteromyxidae. The record is from RNAcentral.
ACCACAUCUAAGGAAGGCAGCAGGCGCGCAAAUUACCCAAUCCAGACAUUGGGAGGUAGUGACGAGAAAUACCGGAGUUAACCUUUUAGGUAAACUAUCGGAAUGAACAUAAUUUAAUACCUUUGUUGAGUAUCUAUUGGAGGGCAAGUCUGGUGCCAGCAGCCGCGGUAAUUCCAGCUCCAAUAGUGUAUAUCAAUAUUGCUGCAGUUAAAAAGCUCGUAGUUGAAUUACAAAGGAUAUUGUCAGAGUAUGUUUUAUAUCAAUAAAAUAUUCUCAUUCAAUUUCCUUUUUAUCGUAAGAGCUAGUAAUGAAAUUCACUUUUUGUUGCUAGUGACUUGCGGAGUGUGCCUUGAAUAAAGCAAAGUGCUCAAUACAAGCGUCCGCUCGAAUGUAGUAGCAUGGUACGAAUAUCGGUGACGCCAAUCCGUGUUGGUUUUGGAUUGGUGUCUAGAUUAAAAGGGACAUUUGAGGGCGUUAGUACUUGGUGGCGAGAGGUGAAAUUCUUAGACCCACCAAAGACUCACUAAUGCGAAAGCGUUCGCCAAGACUGUUUUCAUUAAUCAAGAACGAAGGUUGGAGGUUCGAAGACGAUCAGAUACCGUCGUAGUUCCACACAGUAAACAAUGCCAACUUGAAUUCAGCGUGUAUAAACAUAUACGUUGGCUUCUCCGGGAAACCAAGUCUUCGGGCUCUGGGGAUAGUAUAGUUGCAAGUCUGAAAUUUAAAGAGAUUGACGGAAGGGCACCACCAGGAGUGGAGCCUGCGGCUUAAUUUGACUCAACACGGGGAAACUCACCAGGUCCGGACAUCGAUAGGAUUGACAGAAUGACAGAUCUUUCAUGAUACGGUGAUUGGUGGUGCAUGGCCGUUCUUAGUUGGUGGAGUGAUCUGUCAGGUUAAUUCCGGUAACGAGCGAGACCACAAUCUCUAAUUGAUUACAUUCCCACUUAUUUCGGG